CGCUUCUUUCCAAGAACUCGUCCGCGUGCAGCGUUCUAGCUGAAGGCGAAGAUGGACUUGAGAUGGAUUACCAAGAAUAUCAUUCUAGACGAGGACGUAUGAGCGAUCAUGCGAGCACGGACCGUCCUACGGUGCACAGGCCUUUCCCUUUGAUUCGAAUAGCUACGGAGUUACGGAACCAAUAACCGAGGGCUUGGAUGCACAGCUGGUUGCUCGCAUGCAUAGGGUAAUUCCAGUUGUGUACUGAAGCUUGCACAGAGGGCUAUUUAACUAUUGCAUUGGAAAUUGAUUUAGUAAUACACAAACUGAAUGAUAAAUCAAAGGAUAUCUCAGUAGAUGCACUGUUCGAGUUGUUGCAGGAAAAUUUGGUAAAGUUAAUUUGUGGUGCUUGGCAGUUUUAGUGACAAACAAAGUUGGCCGCCUCUCCUCGACUAACC
Nomia melanderi (Alkali bee) is the source of this 437-nucleotide non-coding RNA. The record is from RefSeq and is a predicted model, not a curated record. Lineage: Eukaryota; Metazoa; Arthropoda; Insecta; Hymenoptera; Halictidae.